RNAcentral lists this ribosomal RNA (504 nucleotides) under Triticum aestivum (bread wheat). Its description in RNAcentral is "partial small subunit ribosomal RNA". Lineage: Eukaryota; Viridiplantae; Streptophyta; Magnoliopsida; Poales; Poaceae. The record is from RNAcentral.
AUGGCAAUAGUCCAAUACACAUUUGACAAGAUGAAUGCGUACUUUGUAAAGUACUUGAUGGAAACCGAUGCACAGAUAGCGGGUGAGAACCCACGGAAGUACAAGUACAAGUUCCCACCCAAAGUUGAUAAAUGGUUGGUAUUUCAAUCACGGAAGGCGGACUCGGAAGAAGCUAUAUUAUAUGACAACGAAGAGUGGAAGUACGAAGUGAAAGAGCCAGGAGGAACCACAAACGAUGGCCGGCAACAUGGAGGUCGGGCUUUCAAGGUGUCGUUAACACAAUGUGAUUGCACUUGCGGGAGGCCAUUGUUGCUUCAUCUCCCAUGCUCACAUUUGUAUGCCGCCGGUCGCGUUAGGAAUGUGGACAUCAAUCACCCACGCACCGUGAGGGAGUUGGAGUUCUCAAUCAUGAUGGUCAAGAAAACAUGGGCUCCCCGCUUCCACCCAUACUUUGACCAAUCACAAUGGCCGGAGUAUCAUGGAGUUCAACUAUGGCCGGAUCCG